CGCACGGGUGCGUAACGCGUGGGAAUCUGCCCUUGGGUUCGGAAUAACAGCUAGAAAUGGCUGCUAAUACCGGAUGAUGACGUAAGUCCAAAGAUUUAUCGCCCAAGGAUGAGCCCGCGUAGGAUUAGCUAGUUGGUGAGGUAAAGGCUCACCAAGGCGACGAUCCUUAGCUGGUCUGAGAGGAUGAUCAGCCACACUGGGACUGAGACACGGCCCAG
This 218-nucleotide ribosomal RNA is filed under the name uncultured bacterium. RNAcentral's name for it is "partial 16S ribosomal RNA". It matches the Rfam family "Bacterial small subunit ribosomal RNA", at positions 99 to 334 of the family's 1533-position model. The record is from RNAcentral.